ACACAACAGAACAGAUCAAUGAAACCAGAAGCUGGUUCUUUGAAAAAAUUAGUAACAUUAAUAAACCUCUAGACAGACUUUUAAAAGUUGAAAAGACAAAGGAC
Mustela erminea (ermine) is the source of this 104-nucleotide long non-coding RNA. RefSeq lists it as uncharacterized. The transcript has 3 exons. The record is from RefSeq and is a predicted model, not a curated record. NCBI's taxonomy places the organism in Eukaryota, Metazoa, Chordata, Mammalia, Carnivora, Mustelidae.